ACGGGAGGCAGCAGUGGGGAAUAUUGGACAAUGGGGGAAACCCUGAUCCAGCGACGCCGCGUGAGUGAAGAAGUAUUUCGGUAUGUAAAGCUCUAUCAGCAAGGAAGAAAAUGACGGUACUUGACUAAGAAGCUCCGGCUAAAUACGUGCCAGCAGCCGCGGUAAUACGUAUGGAGCAAGCGUUAUCCGGAUUUACUGGGUGUAAAGGGAGCGUAGACGGCAAAGCAAGUCUGAAGUGAAAUCCCGGGGCUCAACCCCGGAACUGCUUUGGAAACUGUUUAGCUAGAGUGCAGGAGAGGUAAGCGGAAUUCCUAGUGUAGCGGUGAAAUGCGUAGAUAUUAGGAGGAACACCAGUGGCGAAGGCGGCUUACUGGACUGUAACUGACGUUGAGGCUCGAAAGCGUGGGGAGCAAACAGGAUUAGAUACCCUGGUA
RNAcentral lists this ribosomal RNA (434 nucleotides) under uncultured Lachnospiraceae bacterium. RNAcentral describes it as "bacterial SSU rRNA". It matches the Rfam family "Bacterial small subunit ribosomal RNA", at positions 341 to 792 of the family's 1533-position model. Lineage: Bacteria; Bacillati; Bacillota; Clostridia; Lachnospirales; Lachnospiraceae. The record is from RNAcentral.